GAGCGCAUACACAACAUGGUUAAUGCUGGAUUGAAAACUCAAUUGCUACUUUCUCAAAAGAAAACGCAAUUGCUGCAGACUAGCAUCGCCGGAAAGAGGAGCUGGCAGAAUUACAGAGAAGACUCGCAGGAUGGCCAUGAAAGCAAGCCAGCAGCUAUACGAAUCCCUCAACGGAUCUGCAGAAAGUGAGACUGGAAAGCUUGCUGAAGGAUUAUAUGGUCAGAGGAAUGUUGCAGUAUGGAGUAAGAACUGGAUAGCUUUCAGGUAUGCUGCAUUGUUAGGCCUAGCUUCUUUUCUGUUGAUCACUGACAUACAGUGCUGUCGCCUCCUCUUCCUCUACGACCCCGAAAACAUAUCUUACGGUUUAUUCCUUAUGGGAAUGGGAAAUCUUAUCGCUUUUGGUGUCUUGGCUGCACAAGCCCGAGAACUCAUUGAUGAUUCCAAGACUGCAAAUGAUGUGCCUUGGUGGUGCUAUGGCUGCACCAGCUCCAGAUAAGAUUGAAGUUCCAUAUUUCAUAAUGUCCUUCCCUUGGCGGCGUGGCCACUGAUGCCCAACUCAAAUGCUAAUCGAAGAUCUAGACAUUGUAAACGCGCUUUUUAAAUCCUAAUUACCUCCUGUCCUGUUUUUCCUUGAUAACGGAAAUGUGUUAUCAGUGUCCAGUGUUUCUCAAGAUCGUUAGAUUUGUUAGGCAUUUAAAAGGUGGAAUGAAGCGGUGUUAGUUUGUGUUUGGAAAUUGUUGUUGUUAGGCCUCGUCAUUGUUGAGUGUCAUUAUUCAUGUUUUUUCGGGUCCUCUGUAAAAUAUUCAUUGCUUAAUGUAAAAGUUGUUCUGUUAAAGUAAAAA
This is a long non-coding RNA of Daucus carota subsp. sativus, 842 nucleotides long. RefSeq lists it as uncharacterized. The record is from RefSeq and is a predicted model, not a curated record. The transcript is spliced from 2 exons. NCBI's taxonomy places the organism in Eukaryota, Viridiplantae, Streptophyta, Magnoliopsida, Apiales, Apiaceae.